CUACGGGGGGCACCAGUGGGGAAUAUUGCACAAUGGGGGAAACCCUGAUGCAGCAACGCCGCGUGGAGGAUGACACAUUUCGGUGCGUAAACUCCUUUUAUAGGUCAAGAUAAUGACGGUAGCCUAUGAAUAAGCGCCGGCUAACUCCGUGCCAGCAGCCGCGGUAAUACGGAGGGCGCAGGCGUUACUCGGAAUCACUGGGCGUAAAGAGCAUGUAGGCGGGUUAAUAAGUCAGAAGUGAAAUCCAAUAGCUCAACUAUUGAACUGCUUUUGAAACUGCUAACCUAGAGUGUGGGAGAGGUAGAUGGAAUUUCUGGUGUAGGGGUAAAAUCCGUAGAGAUCAGAAGGAAUACCGAUUGCGAAGGCGAUCUACUGGAACAUUACUGACGCUGAGAUGCAAAAGCGUGGGGAGCAAACAGGAUUAGAUACCCUGGUAGUC
RNAcentral lists this ribosomal RNA (439 nucleotides) under uncultured bacterium. RNAcentral describes it as "partial 16S ribosomal RNA". It matches the Rfam family "Bacterial small subunit ribosomal RNA", at positions 339 to 795 of the family's 1533-position model. The record is from RNAcentral.